UCAUUUUGACCAGCCUAGCGCAUGCUCAUUGCUUGCGUGGUCAAAUGGAAAUGAAAGCUGGCCUCCGUCUGGCGAAUACAAGGGAAGGGUGAAGAAUCGGUGGGGUGCCAUCACCCGUUGACCAAAGAUCAGUCCAAAACCGACGGCCAUCGGAAGCAUCGCCGCCGUCCCAUGGUUUUCGUUGCGAAACUGGUGAAUAAUUCCGCAUAAAUUGGCGUCGGUACUUGGUGCUGGUGUUGAAGUCGUUAAGCAUUUGGAGAGAACGAUGUGUUACGAGGCGAGGUGCUCGAACUGCGGGAAGACCACCUGGGGUGGCUGCGGGAGGCAUGUGGCGUCCGUCUACAAGCGGGUCCCGGAGGACCGACGCUGCCUCUGCCGCGGUUGGCCCGGAGUCGAGGCCGGCGAUCAGUCCUCCUCAGCCGCCGCCACGGGCGGCGAUGAGGGAAGCUCCAGCUGCGCUAUACUCUGAGGAUUUCUUUGAUUUCGUUUGAUGUCAUGUGUAAUAAUCAUCUUCUUCUGUAUCAGAUCUCACGGAACCCCUAGAAUAAACUGAUGCUCAUUUGUGAUCUCUCUCUCUCUCUCUCUCUACUGGUGGUGCGGGGCGGAGUGGGGUGGCAAAGCCUGCUAGAUCUGGGGUUUGCUGUGGCGGCCGCCGUACCCGGCGGUGCCCAUCGACUACGGCGACCGGUGGUCGUCUCUGCUCUAGUUGGGCUUAGGCCCAGAAAGGGCUAGUUUGUGUUGACCUUUUGUGAUUUGGGCUUUUUGGCAUCGAUUUCGAAAACUUGAGGACCAUUUGGAGAAAACGCCCUGCCCAUGAAGCCCUUGUGAUGAAAUAUGAAGGGCAAAAGUUAAGGGGAAAUGAUGGUCUGUGAAAUAAUCUGGUUUAUGAGAUUUUAAUUUAUUUGAUGUAAUUCCUAAAGUGUAGCUCGAUAUGCAAUGUUGUCCUUAAACUUUGAAUUUGUUCAAUGUAAUCUUUGGACUUUUAGUACAUGUUCAAUUUAAUUUAUUUAACUAUAUAAAAAUGUUCUAUACCGUUCUUAAUAUUGAAUUAAUGAAAGGAUAGCAUCGAACAUUUUUCAUAUAUUUUAAGGACUACAUUGAAUAUGUCAAAUUAUAAAUUGGGUUAAAGUUUAGAGAUUGCCUUGAACAAAUUAAAAAUUUAAGGAUCAUAUUGCAUAUUAAGCAAAUUCAUGAACUAUUUAUAUCAUUAUUCAAAAAAUUAAUUGAUAUAACGUGAAACAGAACAAGCAUCUAUCUAGGUUAAAAAAUGUGGCGAGCUGGUAAGCAUAUCCCCAUGGUGAUAUUCUUAAUCUUGCAAAGGCAAUUUUCCACCUAUCUAACAAACAAACAAAAAAAUUAGGAAGGGUCAUGAAACUCGUCUUCUUUUUGGUUUGUCUUUGCUCGGAUUUUGUCUGUCUCAAUAGGCUGGGACCCAAUCUUCACUCAAGCCAUCUUCUCAUCUCUUUCAUUGAAAUUCUUCUGGGUGAUUUUUACCAGCUAAAGUACAAGGAAAUUCCGACCAAAAUAGAAAAGUACAAGGAAGUAUGUUAUAUGACAAACACACCAUACAAUAGUAAUAACAUGAUAUAACUAACAAAUCAUCAUCGUCUGUCUGUUAUGAAUCGCAUCAUAUUUGUCAUCUUAUUUGUCGCAGUGUGUAUAUUUAUCUCACUUUUAAUUGAUCGAUUACAUCACAUCAUCAUUGUCACGUGUUCUAUAUAUUGGUAAAAUACAUUCUUUAAAAUUAUGGGAUUUCAUAAGGUAUUUCAAGCUCCUUGUCACGUGUCUUCGCAGUGGUUGGCGUAGUACUAUAAGGCUGAUUCCAGAGUGAUUUGAUAGCCCCUGAUCACUAGUUGAUUUUUCUUGGUUGUUUCACUGUGCUCACAUCCUGAGAUAAGAUCAUUGGACCGUUUUUUUGGCUAAUAUCGUGGUUGGGAGGUGAUGGCGGGCUCGCUCAAAAUGAUUGGGGGCCAACCAAUCCAAAUGGCAUACUUGAAUUUAUAACAAAAACAAUAGACCCAAAUCAAUAUAGGCACAUCACCUCAGGAAAAGGAAAGAAAAGGAACAACAUGAGAAGAACAUAGGUAAGUUGGCGACCUUAUUCUUCCGGCACCAAAAGACAACAGCACCAAACACCAUUACUUAAGUUGGGCUCGAACGACCGUCGUCCACAUGUUGACCUUUUGUGAUUUGGGCUUUU
This 2200-nucleotide long non-coding RNA is filed under the name Eucalyptus grandis. Its description in RNAcentral is "long non-coding RNA (EGRA_LNC002636)". Lineage: Eukaryota; Viridiplantae; Streptophyta; Magnoliopsida; Myrtales; Myrtaceae. The record is from RNAcentral.